RNAcentral lists this long non-coding RNA (447 nucleotides) under Phasianus colchicus (ring-necked pheasant). RNAcentral describes it as "lncRNA (ENSPCLG00000006975.1)". The record is from RNAcentral. Lineage: Eukaryota; Metazoa; Chordata; Aves; Galliformes; Phasianidae.
CCAGGCAGCGGGCUCGCCAAAACCAGAGUUUCUGACGAGGCAGGAAUGUCCCUGAAUGGUUUCAUCAUCAGAUCAGCAUUUUCCAGUGGUUUCCCUAGUAGUAAGCUACAUCAAGAGAUCCUACACAUUGAAGUCUUCUGUGCCCCAUGUUGGCAAGCAAGCCAAGACAGGAGUGGCGUGAGUGGGAUGGAGGUUUUGGAACCACACCUAGCUCACAGAAACUUGAAUUGGAGCCAGCUGUGGUACACGCCAAUAAAACCUGCAAUCAGUGACAGCUUUUAUCCCAAAUGUGUCCGGGCUGACUUCCCUUUCAAAAUAAUGGAGCUUGAGACUGCAAACAGAAACUUGGUAAAUAUAUUUCUCUCCACAACAAGACAGUUUUCCCCCAAGCAAAUGCCUGACGUGGAAAGUUUAAUCCAGAGGAAUAUUUUUUUCAGAAAAUUAUAA